Molecule: unclassified non-coding RNA, 391 nt
Filed under: soil metagenome
Description: partial contains 5.8S ribosomal RNA, internal transcribed spacer 2, and large subunit ribosomal RNA
Rfam family: 5.8S ribosomal RNA (bases 1-122)
Source: RNAcentral
GAUGAAGAACGCAGCGAAAUGCGAUACUUGGUGUGAAUUGCAGAAUCCCGUGAACCAUCGAGUCUUUGAACGCAAGUUGCGCCCGAAGCCACUAGGCCGAGGGCACGCCUGCCUGGGCGUCACACGCCGUUGCCCCCCCAUCUACUCCUUCGGGAUUGCGGGGGGGCGGAUGAUGGCCUCCUGUGCGCCUAGCCGCGCGGUUGGCAUAAAUACCAAGUCCUCGGCGACGCACGCCACGACAAACGGUGGUUGCGAAACCUCGGUUGCCCGUCGUGUGCGUUCGUCGCGCAUCGAGGGCUCGAAAAAAUGCUCGGCUCCGGCUGGGCUUUCAACGCGACCCCAGGUCAGGCGGGGUUACCCGCUGAAUUUAAGCAUAUCAAUAAGCGGAGGA